AUGGUGACACUGACUUUCCUUUUCACAGAUAAUGAAAUGCAGAAAAUAGCUUACAUGGGGAAAACACAAGAUCACUCACAAUCAGUUUGCGGCUUUUCUCUGGAGAAACCUUUCCUUGCAUCUUUUGCAAUCCGCUCCAGCUCCUGGCGACGUGUCCUGCACUAUCAGAUAUCAUAUGACUCUUUAUUUGGACUCCCGUUAGCAGUAUGGGCCUGUUAGGAGGCUGUUUGUUUUCUUUUCCUUUCAUUUCCUUCUCCUUAGUUCCCCUCUAUUUUAUGUGUGCCCGUGUGAGCGUAUCCCCUUUAUAAUCUCUAUUUUUGUGCUGAAGCUUUAUAGAACAGAAAAAAAAAAAACUUAAUCAUUUCCCAGGGCUGUUUUUAAUCCUCUGCCAAAAUUGAAGUUCAUUGUCAAGUUGUAAAAAUAAAUAACACCUUUCAGCUUUAUUUCUCUCUUUUGCUUCUUCCUGUGCCCUUCCUGGCACUUCUCAGUGUGUCCGUAUGUACCCGUACGUGUCUCCCUGCCUCUCCUGCCUCAGUGGGUGAAGUUGGGAUACACCUGUGUCAGUCUAAGGAGGAGUACAGAGCUGCCUGCUGCAGCUCCUGCCGCUCCCUGCUGUUCCUUUCACUUUCAUCAACUUCCCUCUGUUUAUUUAUUUAUUUCAUUUGGGCACCUUCUCCACACCAAGUUUGAAAAGCUGUCAGGCAGCGAUCCCUAUGCUGGGCUUUUCUGCAUUUAGGUGAGCAAAUGGGGGAAGUUAAGGCUGUAAGAAAGUGAAACGUUGUGCUGAAGGGAGAGAGGAUGAAGUGCAAGUUGGAAAUUAGACAUGCUUUGUGUACGCCGCCCAUAAAAGUUUCCUGCACCCUUCCCUCUGUUUAUUUAUUUAUUUCAUUUGGGCACCUUCUCCACACCGAGUUUGAAAAGCUGUCGGGCAGCAAUCCCUAUGCUGGGCUUUUCUGCAUUUAGGUGAGCAAAUGGGGGAAGUUAAGGCUGUAAGAAAGUGAAACGUUGUGCUGAAGGGAGAGAGGAUGAAGUGCAAGUUGGAAAUUAGACAUGCUUUGUGUACGCCGCCCAUAAAAGUUUCCUGCACCAGAACUCUGGUGCCUAAUAAUAGGAUGGGGGGAGCCAGACAGCAGCUAACAAUUGGAGGUGUGUAGCAAAGUAGCCUUAUGGCAGCAGCAUUUCUGAUACUGAGUCACAUUUUAGUUAAGGGAGAUGAUAUUUUUUCCGUUUGUGCUGUCUUUAGUAUUACGUUAUUUAGACAAACACCGCUGCAAAACUUUUUUGUCUGAAAAUGCUAAGUCACGUCAACAGAAACACUGAAUUGAAAUCAAAUUUACCAAAUCAUUGCAAGGAAAAGGGUCUGCAUUUCCAAAAGAGAGGUAAUGUUUUGUUUUGAUACUUUGCUAUGCAAUGUUUUAAUUUCUCUUUGUGAACUAAGGAUUUCUAUUGAGAAUUGUUAAGAAUUGAUUUUUAAAGGUGGGGGGAAGAAAAAUCCUUAAAACAUUCCAAAAUGAGAUGUUUUGAAGGGAGGAGAUUUAAGUUUUACCAGAGGAAUUUAAAGUGUUCAGGUUUUUGUUCGUUUGAUUCAGUUUUUUUCAACUUGAAUCGUAAUAUACUUUGUCAAGCAAACCAGUAAAUGAGCUUUUUACACAAAUUUGUUCCCUCUGUAAUUAUUGCUGUGUUUUUAUGGAACUUGGUGUUUUAUUUCUCCAAAUUUGGUAAGAUCAGCAAAGCCGAAAUCCUGUUUGCACUGUAGAGACACAAAGGAGUUACUGAUACUUUCUGUCAGAGGUAGGUGCUUUGGGCAGCCAGUCCUUCUACCAAGUUGUGCUGCUCAGCAGCGACUGCGCACGGGCCGAUCGCCACACUCCGGGGGAAAAUAUGGACACAUUUUGGUGUGUGAUUUAUAUACGUUUUGGGCUGAUAUUCCUAUUAACACAGCUCAAGAACUGUAAGUUUUAGUCUUUCCUCUCUAGUGUAUACUUAGACUAGUGUACAAAAGCAAUCUUGUAAGUGAGGCAAAUACAGACCAGAGGUUUUUUUUGUUAAGAAUCCAGAAACAACUGCAUUUCAGCUGUACUGUAGGUGUGUAAAUUGAGGUUGCCCUGCUAGUUGGUGUUGUUUCUUACUUCUUAUCUAAGACACCUUCCCAUUCAAGUCAGUGCAGGUUUUCCUGAGAAAAGGUAUUGAAAAACAGAGCUAGAAGAUCAGGAUUUACGGUGAUCCCCUUGAAUCAGUGUUGGAAACCAGAAACCCAAGAGUGUGUGCUUGCACAGCACAGCAUCCCUCUGGAGCCUGCAGGGUGCACUUGCUUUAGUGAAGGUGCUAGAGCUGAGUUGAGCUGACUCCUGCAGUCUGAAACUUUAUUUAUAUAUGCCUCCAGCUCCUUCAGAUAAAUACUAGUGUCUGCUUUGCUCUCAACAGCACAUAAUUUCUUUUUUUUUUAGUUUUUGCCAGUUGUCCCAAUGCGGAAUAAGAGACUCUUUGACCAGAGACAUUUUCAGGCUUCUUUCCUUUUCUCUCUUCCUUGACCAACUUAAAACCAGCUUUGCUUUAACGUUUCAUGCUUAGGCACGUGCAUGCUCGUGAGGAAGCAAUUACAGACUUUGUUGGAAGAAAUCUGCAGUAAGUGUUACGAAUGUUUAAGAAUUGUGUGCUUUGCAUGCACGGUACAUAAUGUUCCCUGGUACUCUAUGCAUGCUCCUGUGCUCUGAGCAGUCCUAGCUGUGGGUAUUGUAUUUAUUUGUCAGCUCAUUCUGGUAGCCACCCAUGAAUUUAGUUGACAAUCAGUAAACAGUUCCACAAUAAGGCUGGAGUUUGAGAGUAAUAUAAGUGGGAAUUAAAAGGCUUCUUUCAAGUUUUGGCCAUUUCAAUGGAUUGUUGCUCAGCAUCUUUAUUUAUAUGAAAAAAAACGUGCUCUUCAGAUUUCUUCAACAUCAUCUCUGCGGAGUAGAUUCUUUCAUUUCAAAGAUGUUACACACUCAAAUAAUCAUAAAAGGCGUAUUUAGCUACCUCACAAAGUAAAUUUAGCAAAGAGGUGCAGAAAGCUGAAAGCCAAGUGCUGCAGCUAAUGCCUGAAAGUGGUGCUCUGGGCUGGGCAGAGAAGGGCAGGCUCACCGCUGCUGAAGUUUUGUUAGCAUAACUUGGACUUGGUGGAAUUGCACCAAAGUUGUGUUUUGACUUGGCUUAACUUCACUCUUUCAUCUGACUUUCUUUCUAAGCCAGCCCAAUCCAGAUCUGUUCAGUGCUCGGGAGGGUGAUAGCCAAGGGACAAAACAGCUUGUCUAACACAUGUCUCUUUAGUGCACCAGUGUGUAGCUCGUGAGGCCUCAGACUGGAUCACCACUGUCAAGAGAAAUGUGUUUUCCUACAGCGUAAUAAGUUGUCCUGCUGCUUUCAGAUGUCAGAGAUCCCCAGUUCAGCACUUGGUGAAAAGGUCUGCUCUCAGAAGAGGUUUCCCUCCCAUUUAACAUUUCAUUAGUGCAUGCAAAUGUGAUGUGGCCAGUAGGAGCAACAAAUUCUGGUUUAUUUUUGCCAGAAUAUAUGUAUAUAUUCUAUGUCUGUAUUAAUGUUAUGGUGAGAUGGUAUUUCAACCUAAACACCAAUUUCAGUGGCUUACCGCUAAAAAGUGAGCUGAGUCGAAAUGUCAAGUAGCUGUUCCAAGCUCAGAGGUGAAGCUUAUAUUGUUUUGGAAAGUAUGAGGAAAGUCAUGGUUACUUUUUUUUCUCUUUUUUAUUUUUUGAUGUGUUGGGCAGCCAUUCUAAGACAGUAACAUUUUCUGAUUAACUAAUUACUGAAACCCAUUAAUUUUUCCAUUCUUAUUCUAUUUUUAAUUUUUCUUACUUCUUCAAUACAAAAUGAAAAUUAUAAAGAGCUAAUUUCCU
Molecule: long non-coding RNA, 3884 nt
Organism: Ficedula albicollis (Collared flycatcher)
Lineage: Eukaryota; Metazoa; Chordata; Aves; Passeriformes; Muscicapidae
Source: Ensembl